AACUACUAGGGAGGCUGAGGUGGGAGGAUCACUUGAUCCCAGGAGUUUGAGGCUGCAGUGGGCUAUGAUUGUACCAUUUCAUGCCAGCAUGGGUGGCAGAGUAAUAGCUUAUCUUUAAAAGAGAGAGAGAGAGAGAAUAGUAGAUUGUUAACAAAAAACACCGAAGAAUAAAUACAUUUUCCUUAUCUAAAUCUUGUCAGUGGGUCCAAUCUUAGAAACAAACUGAGAUUGCUUCCUCAUUCAUAACUCUUCCCCCAAUAGUGAUGUCUGGAUUUGAGGAAGGGAAAACAGGGAAUAAAGAAGUGACGUGAGACAUUUUUCAUUCUGUUUUCUCCCUUCUCCAGAUCUGGUCAUGCUUUAUUUAUUAUGUGGUCUGUUAGGAACUGCUGUCUUUUUUCAUGAACUUACCUUCCUGAACACUGUGAUGCUUCUAGGAAUGGGCACUUGGUUCAAGCAAGCCAAAUAGAAUCCUUCUCUUGAGUUUUUGGAGCUGAAGAAAGAGGCAAAAGCCUUUUCUCCAUGGAUAGUGAGCUGGAAAUCUGCUGAAUCACUCCAGCCCCUGGGCAGAGAAAGCACAUUUUCAGGACAAGAAUUUAAAGCCAAUCCGUACAAAGAAGCAGAGAUCAGAAACAGACAAUUCUGAUAGUAUUUGGACCCCUGGUUAUUUUUUCUGAGACCACUCCCAAAGCUUCCUUGCUUUCCAACGCAUAUUUGUUAGAGCUUCUUCUGGUUCUUAUUGGAUGCAAUCGAAGCUCUUGAGUCUGACAAUCUGGCAUUUCCAGCACCAGUCAGCCUUAUCUUGCUUCUAGCUUCCCAGUCAAGAGUUGCCUUCUCCCAGAUGCCAUGCUCAUUUUCGAUUGUGCAGUUUUCUUGAAUGACCUCUUGCCUCCUCUCUCCAUAAUACUAAUUCUUGCCUCUCUUCAGGGUCUAGUUCAACAUUUAUCUGCUCUACUGAACCCUUCUUGAUUGAUCUUUUCCUUCUCUGAACUACCAUACCCCUUGUAUUCCCAGCUUUUCUAUAUUGUCUGAAACAGAUUUAUCUUUCUGCCUUGGUUUGUUUUCCUGUGUAUUUUGUGUGUAAGUGUGUGUGUGUGUGUGUGUGUGUGUUUAUUUACUUACAAAGUUGUUAGUUCCUUGAUUUGUUUGAACACGACCCUUUAGGGUGAGGAGUGGAGGAGAAUUGAACUGAUCUACAUAAAAAAGAGAGCAGAGGUCAGCAAAGCCUAAGUUCUCUCCUCUCGCUUUCCUCUGGAGAGUGGGACAGCAUGAGCUUCACCAAUCACUCUACUUUCUCCACAAACUACCAGGCCCUGGGCUCUGUCCAGGUGCCACUUAAAGCAUCUGGCUGGUCAGCAGCAUGGCCACCGUCUAAGCAGGUGCCUGGGGCUCUGGUUCCCGCAUCUCCGUGUCUUGCUCCACCAGCUUCCGGGUGGCAUGGGGUCCGGGGGCCUGGCUGCAGGGAUGGCCAGGACUCUGGCAGGAAUGGGAGGCAUCCAGAACAAGAAGGAGACCAUACAAAGCCUGAGUGACCACCUGGCCUCCUACCUGGCCAGAGUGAGGAUCCUGGAGACCAAAACUGGAAGCUGGAGAGCAAAAUAUGGGAGCACCUGGAGAAGAAGCGACCCCAGGUCAGAGACUGGAGCCAUUACUUCAAGACCAUCAAGGACCUGAGGGCUCAGAUCUUCACAAAUACUGUGGACAAUGCCCACAUUGUUCUGCAGAUCGACAAUGCUCAUCUUGCUGCUGAUGACUUUACAGUCAAGUAUGAGACACAGCUGGCCAGGCACCAGUCUAUGAAGAGUGACAUCCAUGGGCUCCACAAGGCCAUUGAUGACACCAAUGUCAUUUGGCUGCAGCUGGAGACGGAGAUCGAGGCUCUCAAGGAGGAGCUGCUCUUAAUGAAGAAGAACCAUGAAGAGGAAGUAAAAGGCCUGCAAGCUCAGAUCGCCAGCUCUGGGUUGACCGUGGAGGUAGAUGCCCUCAAAUCUCAGGACUUUGCCAAGAUCAUGGCAGAUAUCUGGGCCCAAUAUGACAAGCUUCCUUGGAAGAACCAAGAGAACCUGGACAAGUACUGGUCUCAGCAGAUUAAGGAGAGCACCACAGUGGUCACCACACAGUCUGCCAAGGUUGGAGCUGCUGAGAUGACACUCACAGAGCUGAAACAUGCAGUCCAGUCCUUGGAGAUCGACCUGGACUCCAUGAGAAAUCUAAAGGCCAGCUUGGAGCACAGCCUGAGGGAGGUGGAGGCCUGCUACGCCCUGCAGAUGGAGCAGCUCAACAGGAUCCUGCUGCACCUGGAAUCAGAGCUCCCACAGACCCGGGCAGAGGGACAGCGCCAGGUACAGGAGUAGGAGGCCCUGCUGAACAUCAAGGUCAAGCUGGAGGCUGAGACCGCCACCUACCGUCGCCUGCUGGGAGAUGGCAAUCUUGGUGAUGUCCUGGACAGCAGCAACUCCAUGCAAACCAUCCAAAAGACCACCAUCAGCUGGAUAGUGGAUGGCAAAGUGGUAUCUGAGACCAAUGACACCAAAGUUCUGAAACAUUAAGCCAGCAGAAGCAGGGGACCCUUUGGGGAGCAAGAGGCCAAUUAAAAGUUCAGAGGUCAAAAAAAAAAAAAAAAGAGAGAGAGCAGAAUAUGAGACUCUUGCAAGCAAUCCAGAAAGGGAGAAAUGAAGACCAGAGAUGGAAGUUUGGGAGAAAGGAGGAGAGUGGAGCAGCGAGCACUGGAGGUUGUAUAUAGCCUGAUGUGAUUAUUUUCCAUGUUCCCAGUUCCUCAGGAAAUUAAAGCAAACUCAUAAAACGCUUGGAGAACAUGCAUAUUUUAUGGAAACUGAUGAAGGGAUAGAGUUCUGGCUUGUCAAGGGGGAAAACUGAGGAAACACACAUGAAUGCAGGUGCUGUAGGCAGAGUGGCCAUGAAAGAUACCAGCCCUUGGGGAUCUGCAGAAAACAUGAGGAGUUUCAAGACCUAACCAUGUCUGGAUUGGGGGUUCAAGCCAAAGGGCAGGAUGUCUCAACAAUCAUCUGGGUUAUAAGUGUUUAUUCAUUUGGUAGUAGGCAAAUUACUCCUGCCUUCCCAUGUUGAUAAUAAAUCCCAUGAGUAGAGUCCAUGCUGUCUCUCCUAUCUCAAAUUCUCUCACACUGGGUCAAGCUCAAAGUAAUUAUAUCCCUUGCCUCUCCACUUUCUAUUGCCUUCUCUUUGUCAAUGUUGGGCUGAUAACUGAUACAAUUUUGCUUUUAUCAGGUCGGUUUCCAGAUCUAUAGAAGAAGGAGGAAAAAGAGGAGAGGGGAAGAGUGGGCCCUGUUAUUGCUCUCCACAUGUUAAACUCCUGAUGGUGGCCAGAUUCCUUCAUUAUCUGGCUUCAUUCCAUUUAUCUAACCUCAUCUGCUUUUGCCCACUUGGUUCUUCUUUCCCGGAAUAUUGAGUUCCUCUCUGUCUACUGACAUAGCAUGAAGAGUUUCAUCUCAGUGUCUAGCAAGAGACGGAGUUCCUCCAAGAAAUCUAUUUGACUCCCAAUCACCAAUUACCUUUCUUUCACACUUUUAAUUGCAUUUCUAUUUAGUACUACGUCCCAUGACAUUCAUUAUUGUUCUCUUGGUGACUUUAUGAUGGCCAGUCUUCUCAUAAUCAGCUUGAGGACUAAAAUGGUGAUUUGCAGUUCUCAUGUAGUAGGUACUUAGUACUUACUCAGUGUUUUGUAAGUCGCUUCCCUAAAUGAGUUCACCAAGGUCAGGGGCUUUGUUUUGUUUCCUACUCUUUACCCAAAGCUAGAACUUGCCUAGGAAAUAGUGAGUACUCAAUGAAUAUUUAUUGAAUGAAUUAAUGAAUACUGAAUUAAUGAAUGCCAACCUUUAUGAAAUACAGUAGUGCAGAACAAUAUGUUUUCUUUGCCUUUCCCACAUAUUAUUUCAGACUUUUUCAUCUCUCCCUUAACUCUAUUAUAACUCCUUUGUUGAAUUUUUCAGUCUUUUAGAUAAUUUCAAAUGGCAUUAUCUAGCUCCUUCAGUGUAGUAUCAGUCACUCUUAUUUCAAAUCGCGUUUGUGCCAAGUUUAAUCCAUUUAUACUGAAAGAGAAAACAGGGUAGCCCUGUAGAUGCGUGGGCUGCUCCUUCAUGUCUACACUCCCUUGAGUGUAUCUCAACACAGAAAACAUGGGAAUUGGGCAUGUCUAUAGCAAAAUGAAAUCUCUCUAGAGAGGUACUAUUUUCAUAAACGGAAAUGUUCAAUAUCAUAAAGAUAUCAAUAAUCCUCAAAUUCAUAUAUGAAAAUCGGUUCCAAGUCCAAUCAAAAUCCCAACAGAGAAUUUUAUUUAGUGAAAGUUAAUAAUUGAUUCCAGAAUUCACUCGGAACAAAAGGUGGUGAAAAGCCAAGGCAGUUUUAAAGAAGAAUGAAGGAAAGGCAAUUUAGUUGUUAAUAUAUGAGGAUUUAUUGUGAAGCCAUAUUAAUUAAUUCAAAGUGAUGUUAGUGUAGGAAUAGACAAACACACUAAACAGAACAGAGGGCCCAAUAUACAUUUUUAUAUCUAUGGAAGUGACACUACAAAUUAGUAUGGGGCUGGUGGGCACAGUGGCUUUUGCCUGUAAUCCCAGCACUUUUCGAGGCAGAGGUGGGAGAAUUGCUUAAGCCCA
Sapajus apella (tufted capuchin) is the source of this 4628-nucleotide RNA transcript. It is a transcript of the gene named keratin, type I cytoskeletal 18 pseudogene, with no coding region annotated. Lineage: Eukaryota; Metazoa; Chordata; Mammalia; Primates; Cebidae. The transcript has a single exon. The record is from RefSeq and is a predicted model, not a curated record.